CUUUCUUUCUUUCUUUUCAUUUUUUUUGUUUUCUCUUGUAUGCUCCUCUCUACUCUCAUCUUCUCCACUGGCACUUCCACACCACCACCACCAUUUCCACCAUCAUCUUCGACAAGAUCUCCAGAAAAUUUUUGGGAACCCAUAAACACCUUCACAUCCUUUUUUGAGUCUUUGUGACAAUGAAAUCAAAUCUAGGUCAGUGCCCUUUCACUUUGGAUGACGCGUUCUUCCCUACUGUCCAUGGGGUGAAGAGGUUCCUUGAUUGUGUGUGGGUGAGGCUGCUGUCCAUGGGGCCAAAAGACCACAAGCAAGAGUGGUCCUAUUUGACGUGCUAUCUCUGCUGCCCAUGGGAGGAGAGAAAAACCUUGAGGGUAUGAGUGAAGCUGAUAUCCAUAAGGCCAAGCAUCUGCAUACCAGAGAGGACAAUAUCAUGCCAGUUGUGAAUGGGUGGAUCCCCUGACCGGUCUAUGUGGUAAUGUGGUAUAUUUGUGAUAAUUUAUCUUAUGUUAGAUAUUAUGGCUUUGGAAAUUAUAUUGUUGAUACUCACAAAUUAUAAUAUAUAGUUUCAUGAUAUUAUUUUGAGAAACUUUAUGUUUCAUCAUUUAAUCAUUCUUGUUACAUUAUUAUUGAAAAUGAUAUUGCAAUAUUCAGUUAGCAAUUUCCUAAACAAAAACAUGUUUUGUAAAUUGUUCAUUAUAAUGAAACUUGCAUUUCCCCCACCCCCAUUAAUUAUGCUACUUACUGGGCGUUAGCUCAUCCCACGCUUUAACAGUUUUUCAGAUUUCUUAGCUAUACCUUGGAUAUGGAGCUUACUUCCUUGGUGAUGAUUAGAGUGCUAUCUUAAAUUUGGAGACUCUUGCUGUAAAUGGUUGGUAACUCGAUCUUGCUAUGUUCAACAAGACCUUAAUUUAUUCUAUUAGGGGUUGGUUACUUGAGGUUUGUUAACCUCAAGCAUGGUAGGCAUAGACUUGAUAUUAAGAUUCCUUAUUCUUGAUAAGAUUGUGACUUUGUGCAAUCCAAGAACUUUGUAGUAUAUAUUCAUGUAUUAUGUGGAGACACAAAAUUUUUAGUUAUUGUUUAUAAAUAUGUUAUAGAACUCUGACUUGUAAUAUGGAGAUUUUAGUGUGGUUAUAUAUUCUUAUCCUGUGGAAAAAGAAAAGAG
Molecule: long non-coding RNA, 1162 nt
Organism: Quercus lobata
Lineage: Eukaryota; Viridiplantae; Streptophyta; Magnoliopsida; Fagales; Fagaceae
Exons: 2
Source: RefSeq, a predicted model, not a curated record